UGCGUAGGCGGGCUAUUAAGUCAGUGGUGAAAUCUCUCGGCUCAACCGAGAAACUGCCAUUGAAACUGAUAGUCUUGAGUAUGGUUGUGGUAGGCGGAAUAUAGCAUGUAGCGGUGAAAUGCUUAGAUAUGCUAUAGAACACCGAUCGCGAAGGCAGCUUACCAAGCCAUUACUGACGCUCAUGCACGAAAGCGUGGGGAGCAAACAGGAUUAGAUACCCUGGUAGUCC
This 229-nucleotide ribosomal RNA is filed under the name uncultured bacterium. RNAcentral describes it as "partial 16S ribosomal RNA". It matches the Rfam family "Bacterial small subunit ribosomal RNA", at positions 568 to 796 of the family's 1533-position model. The record is from RNAcentral.